RNAcentral lists this ribosomal RNA (395 nucleotides) under bacterium enrichment culture. RNAcentral describes it as "bacterial SSU rRNA". It matches the Rfam family "Bacterial small subunit ribosomal RNA", at positions 521 to 916 of the family's 1533-position model. The record is from RNAcentral.
UAAUACGGAGGGUGCAAGCGUUAUCCGGAAUCAUUGGGUUUAAAGGGUCCGCAGGCGGGCUUAUAAGUCAGUGGUGAAAGCCUACAGCUCAACUGUAGAACUGCCAUUGAUACUGUAAGUCUUGAAUUCGGUCGAAGUGGGCGGAAUAUGACAUGUAGCGGUGAAAUGCUUAGAUAUGUCAUAGAACACCGAUAGCGAAGGCAGCUCACUAGGCCUGGAUUGACGCUCAGGGACGAAAGCGUGGGGAUCAAACAGGAUUAGAUACCCUGGUAGUCCACGCCGUAAACUAUGAUUACUCGUUUUCGGCACUUAAGUGUGUCGGAGACCAAGCGAAAGUGAUAAGUAAUCCACCUGGGGAGUACGAUCGCAAGGUUGAAACUCAAAGGAAUUGACGG